GUGGGGAAUAUUGGACAAUGGGCGCAAGCCUGAUCCAGCAAUGCCGCGUGCAGGAAGAAGGCCUUCGGGUUGUAAACUGCUUUUGUACGGAACGAAACGGUCCGGGUUAAUACCCUGGGCUAAUGACGGUACCGUAAGAAUAAGCACCGGCUAACUACGUGCCAGCAGCCGCGGUAAUACGUAGGGUGCAAGCGUUAAUCGGAAUUACUGGGCGUAAAGCGUGCGCAGGCGGUUUUGUAAGACAGGCGUGAAAUCCCCGGGCUCAACCUGGGAAUUGCGCUUGUGACUGCAAGGCUGGAGUGCGGCAGAGGGGGAUGGAAUUCCGCGUGUAGCAGUGAAAUGCGUAGAUAUGCGGAGGAACACCGAUGGCGAAGGCAAUCCCCUGGGCCUGCACUGACGCUCAUGCACGAAAGCGUGGGGAGCAAACAGGAUUAGAAACCCUGGUAGUCC
RNAcentral lists this ribosomal RNA (450 nucleotides) under uncultured bacterium. Its description in RNAcentral is "bacterial SSU rRNA". It matches the Rfam family "Bacterial small subunit ribosomal RNA", at positions 354 to 796 of the family's 1533-position model. The record is from RNAcentral.